AUGGAAUCGGCAAUUGGCGCGGCAACCGGGCUCGUCGGCAGCGUGGUGAAUCUGCUGUCCAACGAGCUCGUGGGGGCGUACGUCGCCAGCACCGAACUCGGCCUCAACUCCGUCGAGAUCAAGAAAGAUCUCCUGCACGCGCAGGCGCUGCUGCAAGAGGCCCAGCCGAGGGGCGCCAAGGACAACCACGGCCUGAAGGGGCUGCUGCAGGAGCUCACCGUCAAGGCCGACGAGGCUGAGGAUGCGCUGGAUGAGCUCCACUACUUCAUCAUUCAGGACCAGCUUGACGGCACCCGCUACGCGGUGCCGGACCUGGGCCAUGACCUUCGCGGUCAUGCUCGCCACGGUCGCCAUGCUAUUCGCCAUGUCGUCGGUAACUGCCUUGCAUGCUUUUCUUGUUCGUCGACUAUGAAAGAUGAUGAUAGUGGUGGUGCUGCUGCUGUUCCUAUUAACCCACUCAAUGCAACCAAGACUGAUAGUGCUGGUCAAGAUGGUCCAGUUGAUAAGCUGAAAUUCGAUAGAGUGGCCAUGUCCAAGAAAAUUAAGUCAGUGAUGGAGGAACUACACUCCCUGUGUGAGCCCGUAUCCAAUUUGCUCGGCAUAACUCCACACCAGGGUAGCACUGAAACUGCUGUCAACCUAAAUCGUCCUCCAACGGGAUCAAUCAGUGCGCAGCAUACAUUGUAUGGCAGGGCAGACAUUUUCGAGGGAACCAAAGAUGAUAUAACCAGUGGCAGAUUCUAUACGGAAACCCUUUCAGUUCUUCCUGUAGUUGGUCCAGGUGGUAUUGGAAAGACAACUUUCGCCCAACACCUGUAUAAUAAUAAAAGGAUACAAGAGCACUUUGCUAUUAGGGUCUGGGUAUGUGUAUCGACUGAUUUUGAUGUGCUUAAGCUCAGCCAACAGAUCCUUAGCUGCAUUCAAGGAAGCAACUCCCCAAAUCAAACAACAAGUUUAGACCAGCUCCAAAUAUCCAUCGCAGAGAAAAUCAUGUCGAAAAGGUUUCUAAUUGUGUUUGAUGAUAUAUGGAAAUGCAAUAAUCAGGGCUGGGAAGACCUGCUAGCUCCUUUGAGGAAAGGGGAAACCAAGGGUAACAUGGUUCUCGUCACAACUCGAUUUCCAUCCAUAGCUGAAAUGGUGAAAACAGCACCUUCAAUACCACUGAAAGGCCUCGAGUCUGAUGAAUUCUUCACAUUCUUCGAAGCAUUCAUAUUUGAUGAAAAAAAACCUGAGUACCAAGGUGACCUAGCAAUUAUUGCACGGGCCAUUGCUAAGAAAUUGAAGGGUUCACCUCUAGCAGGCAAAACCGUUGGUCGAUUAUUGAGGAAGGAGAUUUCUCGGAAACACUGGAUGGAAGUUCUCGAAAACAACAAAUGGCAAAACCAAGAAAAUGAUGAUGGCAUUAUGACAUCUCUCAGGAUUAGCUAUGAUUACCUUCCUUCUCAUCUGAAAAGAUGUUUCCAAUAUUUUGCCUUAUUCCCUGAAGAUUACAAGUUUAAGAAUUUAGAGAGUACAUAUUUCUGGAUUGCAAUAGGAAUCAUAGAAAAAGAUGAGGAUUACAUGGAACAACUAGUGGAAAAUGGUUUUGUUGUGAAGGAGAAUGUUCAUUGGUCAAGCCAACAGUACUAUGUACUGCAUGAUUUACUACAUGAACUGUCCCGAAGUGUUUCCUCACAAGAAUGCCUCAAUAUAUAUGAUAGUAAAAGGUUUAAAGCUGAUGCCGUUCCAAAAUCUAUUCGUCAUUUGUCCAUUACCAUUGAAGACAACUAUGAUGUGACUUUUACUGAAGAAAUGAUUAAGUUGAAGAGCAAGGUAGACAUUGCAAAUUUGAGGGCUUUGAUGAUUUUUAGAAGAUAUGGAGAAACAAUUGAUGAGAUUUUAAAUGAUACUUUCAAGGAUGUAGAGGGUCUUCGUGUCCUAUUUAUAGUUGUGAAGUCCCCAAAUUUGUUCCCAUGUGAUUUCUCAAAACUUAUCCACCUCCGAUACCUAAAAGUUGGAACAUGGGACGAAGUGACUUUGCCUAGCACACUGUCCAGACUUUAUCACCUAAAACUAUUGGACCUGAGUGGUUGGCAUGGUAGUUAUGAAUUGCCUAGAGACACUAGCCGCCUUAUCAGUUUAUGCCAUUUUAUUGCUGGAAAAAAAUUCCAUUGCAAUAUUGCUGAGGUUGGAAAGAUGAAGUGUUUAAAGCAGCUUAAAGAAUUCCAUGUCAUGAAAGAGAGUGUUGGAUAUGAACUGUGUGAGUUGGGGCAGUUAACAGAUCUUGGAGGAGAACUAUGUAGACGUAAUCUUGAAAAGGUGACAACCAAGGAUGAGGCUAUGGAAGCCAAACUUGAGUCAAAAGGUGAUUUGGAAGGGUUGGGGUUGGUUUGGGGAUCAUCUGAUGCCGUUGAUGGUACAACAAAAUUAGUUGAUGUUCUUGAUGCUCUUCAGCCACACCCUAACCUUGCAGCACUUGGCAUCAUAGGUCAUGGUGGUACAAGUGGUCCUAGUUGGUUGUGUGGUGACAUUAACUUUGAGUUGUUGGAGUAUCUUCAUCUAGAGGGAGUAUCUUGGGUCACUCUUCCUCCUUUUGAGUACUUGCCGCAGCUCACAUCACUCACAUUGAGCAACAUUCAUGAAGUUAGUGAGAUCCGCCAUGUCUUUGGUGGCGCUACAAACAAAAGUUUUUUGCAGUUGAAGCUGAUUGUCCUUGAUUCAUUGCCUGAACUUAUUGAGUGGGUUGGGGUGCCUAAUGAUUCGUUUGCAAGGCUUGAAACUAUUUAUUGCAGGUCAUGCCCCAAUCUCCGUACACUACCCUUCCUGCGCGAGUACUCUGCUGGCUGUUAUAACCAUCUAUCGAAACUCGAAAUUUUUGAUUGCCCAAAGUUGUCUCUCCCACCCAUGCCUCACAGCUCCACAAUGAUAGUUUGUGAUGUGAGACAUAGUUCCGCAGAGCUGACUUAUUAUGCAGGGAACAAGAUGUAUAUUAAUGGGUAUAAUGGUGAGGUGGACUUGCAUAACCUGCGAAAAGUAGAGAAAAUGAGUAUAACAGAUGUAUCACACAUUUCAAUGACAGAGCUGACCAAUCUGAAAUCCCUAAGAAGACUAGAUGUCAGAAGAUGCAGCUUCACGUGCCAUGGACUCCAGGACCUCUCGUGCCUCCAAUAUCUUACAGUAUACAACAGCAUCAACUUCUUUCCAUGGCAUACCGAAGCAGCUCACACCAUCAAGCUUUUCCCUGCUUCCCUGGAGACACUUGAGAUUGAAGGAGAGUCAGGCAUGCAGUCAAUGGCACCGCUCAGCAAUCUGAAAUCCCUAAGAAGACUAGAUGUCAGAAGAUGCAGCAUCAGGUGCCAUGGACUGCAGGACCUCGCGUGCCUCCAAUCACUUACAGUAAAAGAAUGUGGCAACUUCUUUCUGCGGCCCAUCGAAGCAGCUUACACCAUCAUCAAUCCUUUGCCUUCUUCCCUCGAGGAACUUGAGAUUGAUGGAGAGUCAAGCAUGGAGUCAAUGGCUCUGCUCUCGAACCUCACUUGUCUCACCGAUCUUGUACUGGUGAACUCUGAGAAUUUAACAGUGGAUGGUUUUAAUCCUCUUAUCACAGUCAACCUCAACAGUUUGAAGAUCUACAACAGAGGAAAUUGUCUUAGCCGUUCUGUAUCAGCGGAUUUGUUCUCAAAAUUGGUGGUAGCAAGGACUAACCUAAUAUUGCCUGCAGGCUCCUUCCAGCUGCGAGAACUUACAGUGGAUUGCAUCUCAGCAGUGCUUGUUGCUCCCAUCUGUAGCCACCUCGCCGCUACCAUCAAGACUUUAGAAUUCUGGUAUGAUCAGCGGGCAGAAAGCUUCACAGAAGAGGAAGACAGGGCUCUUCAGCUCCUCAAAUGCCUCCGUUUCAUCAGUUUUAUGGAUUGCCCGAAUCUGCUGUGCCUUCCUCAAGGCCUACACAGCCUUCCUUCUCUUAAGACACUAUUUGUCCAAGAUUGUCCUAAAAUCCGAUCUCUGGACAAGGGGGACUUUCCCACUUCACUGGAGUGUCUAUUAGUGCAGGGUUGCAGUCCCGGGCUACAAGAGCAAGCCAAGCAAUUAAAAGGAACAAAACCAGCUUUUAAUGUGAUACUUGAACUUGAGUAG
Molecule: ribosomal RNA, 4113 nt
Filed under: Triticum aestivum (bread wheat)
Lineage: Eukaryota; Viridiplantae; Streptophyta; Magnoliopsida; Poales; Poaceae
Description: partial small subunit ribosomal RNA
Source: RNAcentral